UCAUCAUAUGAACCUUAACCCUAAUAUUAUGAACCCUAACACUACCUUUUUCCAUAUUUCACAUUCCCUCACCCAGAUCCACAUCAAACCGUGGUCGAUCCAUAAAUCGACCUUCCCUAAAACCCAAUCAAACCUCUAAAUCCUAAAAUCAACUUAAUAGUUCUCUAUCCUAACUCUAAAUCCUUUUUCAGUUUACCUCCAAAAUCAAACCAUAAACAAAAUUAUCACAAACAAACAAGCACCGAAAUUCAACAAUAUAUGUCAGGUUAUACUACGAAGCAAAACGGGGAACCAACCUAUGGAAUGGAGAAGUAUUUCGAUCAAUCGAGGUAAAUGAUCCUUCUGUUGUCUCUUUAUGCUUUAGCCUUCUCUUCUCUUUCUCUUUCUGACCGCUUCUAUUUUGUUCUGUGUGAGGUGUCGAUCUGUGUCGUGGUUUAGCUCAAGAGAGUUAGGGUUUAAAUGUUAAACCUUAACCUCUGUUUAAUGGGAGUUCUGGUGAAUGUUAAGGAUUGCAGAAGCAAUAGAUUUUUAGGUUUUUUUCCUCUCCUUAAUCCAUUUUUAGCAUUAGGUUAAUAUAAGUUAGAAAUUAGGCUAAAAAUUAGUUAGAUUAUCUGUUUUAGAAAGUUUAGAAUUUGAUUUGUAUCAGAUUGAUUCUAAAUUUGAUCUUGUAUGAAAAUAGAUCAAAUAUAUGUUUAACAUCGUCUCGGACGACAUUGUUGAUUCGUGGGAUCAAAUAUAUAUAAUGCCAUGAAAUAUUUACAAUAA
Molecule: long non-coding RNA, 765 nt
Organism: Lathyrus oleraceus (garden pea)
Lineage: Eukaryota; Viridiplantae; Streptophyta; Magnoliopsida; Fabales; Fabaceae
Exons: 2
Source: RefSeq, a predicted model, not a curated record